This 21-nucleotide unclassified non-coding RNA is filed under the name Dictyostelium discoideum. Lineage: Eukaryota; Evosea; Eumycetozoa; Dictyosteliales; Dictyosteliaceae. The record is from RNAcentral.
ACACUCUUUUCUAGAUUUAAC